AGCUUGCUUCUCGCUGACGAGCGGCGGACGGGUGAGUAAUACUUAGGAAUCUACCUAGUAGUGGGGGAUAGCACGGGGAAACUCGUAUUAAUACCGCAUACGACCUACGGGAGAAAGGGGGCAGUUUACUGCUCUCGCUAUUAGAUGAGCCUAAGUCGGAUUAGCUAGAUGGUGGGGUAAAGGCCUACCAUGGCGACGAUCUGUAGCUGGUCUGAGAGGAUGAUCAGCCACACCGGGACUGAGACACGGCCCGGACUCCUACGGGAGGCAGCAGUGGGGAAUAUUGGACAAUGGGGGAAACCCUGAUCCAGCCAUGCCGCGUGUGUGAAGAAGGCCUUUUGGUUGUAAAGCACUUUAAGCAGUGAAGAAGACUCCAUGGUUAAUACCCAUGGACGAUGACAUUAGCUGCAGAAUAAGCACCGGCUAACUCUGUGCCAGCAGCCGCGGUAAUACAGAGGGUGCAAGCGUUAAUCGGAAUUACUGGGCGUAAAGGGAGCGUAGGUGGCUCUAUAAGUCAGAUGUGAAAUCCCCGGGCUUAACCUGGGAACUGCAUCUGAAACUGUAGAGCUAGAGUAUGUGAGAGGAAGGUAGAAUUCCAGGUGUAGCGGUGAAAUGCGUAGAGAUCUGGAGGAAUACCGAUGGCGAAGGCAGCCUUCUGGCAUAAUACUGACACUGAGGCUCGAAAGCGUGGGUAGCAAACAGGAUUAGAUACCCUGGUAGUCCACGCCGUAAACGAUGUCUACUAGUCGUUGGGUCCCUUGAGGACUUAGUGACGCAGCUAACGCAAUAAGUAGACCGCCUGGGGAGUACGGCCGCAAGGUUAAAACUCAAAUGAAUUGACGGGGGCCCGCACAAGCGGUGGAGCAUGUGGUUUAAUUCGAUGCAACGCGAAGAACCUUACCUGGUCUUGACAUAUCUAGAAUCCUGCAGAGAUGCGGGAGUGCCUUCGGGAAUUAAAAUACAGGUGCUGCAUGGCUG
Molecule: ribosomal RNA, 978 nt
Filed under: Psychrobacter sp.
Lineage: Bacteria; Pseudomonadati; Pseudomonadota; Gammaproteobacteria; Moraxellales; Moraxellaceae
Description: bacterial SSU rRNA
Rfam family: Bacterial small subunit ribosomal RNA
Source: RNAcentral